CAGUAGCCGCGGUAAUACGAAGGGGGCUAGCGUUGUUCGGAAUAACUGGGCGUAAAGGGCGCGUAGGCGGAUCUUUAAGUCAGGGGUGAAAUCCCAAGGCUCAACCUUGGAACUGCCUUUGAUACUGGAGAUCUUGAGUCCGGGAGAGGUGAGUGGAACUGCGAGUGUAGAGGUGAAAUUCGUAGAUAUUCGCAAGAACACCAGUGGCGAAGGCGGCUCACUGGCCCGGUACUGACGCUGAGGCGCGAAAGCGUGGGGAGCAAACAGGAUUAGAUACCCGCGUAGUCCCUGUCUCUUAUAC
RNAcentral lists this ribosomal RNA (301 nucleotides) under uncultured bacterium. RNAcentral describes it as "partial 16S ribosomal RNA". It matches the Rfam family "Bacterial small subunit ribosomal RNA", at positions 509 to 807 of the family's 1533-position model. The record is from RNAcentral.